This 253-nucleotide ribosomal RNA is filed under the name uncultured bacterium. RNAcentral's name for it is "partial 16S ribosomal RNA". It matches the Rfam family "Bacterial small subunit ribosomal RNA", at positions 524 to 776 of the family's 1533-position model. The record is from RNAcentral.
UACGUAGGGGGCGAGCGUUGUCCGGAAUUAUUGGGCGUAAAGAGCGUGUAGGCGGUUCGGUAAGUCUGCCGUGAAAACCUGGGGCUCAACCCCGGGCGUGCGGUGGAUACUGCCGGGCUAGAGGGUGGUAGAGGCGAGUGGAAUUCCCGGUGUAGCGGUGAAAUGCGCAGAUAUCGGGAGGAACACCGGUGGCGAAGGCGGCAUCCUGGACCGGUAUUGACGCUGAGGAGCGAAAGCCAGGGGAGCAAACGGG